UGUCAUCUCCAUGUGCUGUGGGGAAUACCCCAGCUAUGGCUCUGUCUGCACAUCAGAUUCAAGUCCGUGCAGACUGCCCGGCACUGAGGGAGCUGCUCUAGCUCCUCCUCCUGCAGGAGGGCUGUGCUUGUGGCCAUACUGGUGACAUGGACAGACUCUUGGUGGAGAAGUGAUGCUGUGGCAGCAAUUAUGACCCAGCAAGAGAGAGUCAGUCCUAGGACUGCAGCCCCAGCAGAAGGGAGCAGCUGUUCCCGCCUGAGCCCCUGGGUCUUGCUCAUAUUCUGCCCUUGCCGUCAAAACUGCCCUUAUGACCGUCGGCCUCGUUGUUCUCUUUCACAGGAUCUGUGGCCAGUACAAGACUCUGCCCCAGAAUGCUUCAGAGUGGCACUGCAUCACCAGUGGACCUGCAAGCCAAAGUGAGUGAUGCUAAGAGCCUUGGGAGUGACACUGAGCACGUCCCUCAGAUUUAUUCUGGUGUAAGUCAGCCUUUGAGUUUGGGAAUGGGAUUGUCAGCCAGAGCUGGAUUGCCCUAGGGAAGGAAGAUGGAGAC
RNAcentral lists this long non-coding RNA (550 nucleotides) under Anas platyrhynchos (mallard). RNAcentral's name for it is "lncRNA (ENSAPLG00020012353.1)". The record is from RNAcentral. Lineage: Eukaryota; Metazoa; Chordata; Aves; Anseriformes; Anatidae.